AGUUUGAUCCUGGCUCAGGAUGAACGCUAGCUACAGGCUUAACACAUGCAAGUCGAGGGGCAGCAUUUUAGUUUGCUUGCAAACUGAAGAUGGCGACCGGCGCACGGGUGAGUAACACGUAUCCAACCUGCCGAUAACUCCGGGAUAGCCUUUCGAAAGAAAGAUUAAUACCGGAUAGCAUACGAAUAUCGCAUGAUAUUUUUAUUAAAGAAUUUCGGUUAUCGAUGGGGAUGCGUUCCAUUAGUUUGUUGGCGGGGUAACGGCCCACCAAGACAACGAUGGAUAGGGGUUCUGAGAGGAAGGUCCCCCACAUUGGAACUGAGACACGGUCCAAACUCCUACGGGAGGCAGCAGUGAGGAAUAUUGGUCAAUGGGCGAGAGCCUGAACCAGCCAAGUAGCGUGAAGGAUGAAGGCUCUAUGGGUCGUAAACUUCUUUUAUAUGGGAAUAAAGUUUUCCACGUGUGGAAUUUUGUAUGUACCAUAUGAAUAAGGAUCGGCUAACUCCGUGCCAGCAGCCGCGGUAAUACGGAGGAUCCGAGCGUUAUCCGGAUUUAUUGGGUUUAAAGGGAGCGUAGGUGGAUUGUUAAGUCAGUUGUGAAAGUUUGCGGCUCAACCGUAAAAUUGCAGUUGAAACUGGGAGUCUUGAGUACAGUAGAGGUGGGCGGAAUUCGUGGUGUAGCGGUGAAAUGCUUAGAUAUCACGAAGAACUCCGAUUGCGAAGGCAGCUCACUAGACUGUCACUGACACUGAUGCUCGAAAGUGUGGGUAUCAAACAGGAUUAGAUACCCUGGUAGUCCACACAGUAAACGAUGAAUACUCGCUGUUUGCGAUAUACAGUAAGCGGCCAAGCGAAAGCAUUAAGUAUUCCACCUGGGGAGUACGCCGGCAACGGUGAAACUCAAAGGAAUUGACGGGGGCCCGCACAAGCGGAGGAACAUGUGGUUUAAUUCGAUGAUACGCGAGGAACCUUACCCGGGCUUAAAUUGCAACAGAAUAUAUUGGAAACAGUAUAGCCGUAAGGCUGUUGUGAAGGUGCUGCAUGGUUGUCGUCAGCUCGUGCCGUGAGGUGUCGGCUUAAGUGCCAUAACGAGCGCAACCCUUAUCUUUAGUUACUAACAGGUCAUGCUGAGGACUCUAGAGAGACUGCCGUCGUAAGAUGUGAGGAAGGUGGGGAUGACGUCAAAUCAGCACGGCCCUUACGUCCGGGGCUACACACGUGUUACAAUGGGGGGUACAGAAGGCGGCUACCUGGUGACAGGAUGCUAAUCCCAAAAACCUCUCUCAGUUCGGAUCGAAGUCUGCAACCCGACUUCGUGAAGCUGGAUUCGCUAGUAAUCGCGCAUCAGCCAUGGCGCGGUGAAUACGUUCCCGGGCCUUGCACACACCGCCCGUC
This 1394-nucleotide ribosomal RNA is filed under the name uncultured bacterium. Its description in RNAcentral is "bacterial SSU rRNA". It matches the Rfam family "Bacterial small subunit ribosomal RNA". The record is from RNAcentral.